This is an RNA transcript of Nematostella vectensis (starlet sea anemone), 1567 nucleotides long. RefSeq lists it as uncharacterized. NCBI's taxonomy places the organism in Eukaryota, Metazoa, Cnidaria, Anthozoa, Actiniaria, Edwardsiidae. The transcript has 7 exons. The record is from RefSeq and is a predicted model, not a curated record.
UUGGUACAAUAAAUAAAUCUCAGUAAAGAGCAGGGUCCUAGAUCCCCCAAAAAUACCUCAAUCAGUCAACACAGAAGGUGUUCAAUGCUGGCUCCGCUUUUAGGCAGUGCCUAAAUCUAUAUAUUAGGUAAGUGACAUUCACGCUUCAAUUACCAAUUAUUGCUAAUCCAAAGGCAAAAUGGCAAAUAAGGCUCGGCUACAAAGCAUAUUGUUGCACUUCAUUUUCAAUAUGGCGGAAGGCAAGCGAGCACCGAAGAAGAAAAAACUGACUGAAGCAGAGCUUUUCCUUGAGUUAGGAAGUACUUUAAAGACAAAGAAGAGAAAAAAAGCUUCUAAGCCCUAUUUCAUGAAAUUUCAGAGAGAUCCAGUAAGUGGGAGGAGAACUUUCAAAACCCCUUACCGUUCUGUACCCAGAACCAAUCGUACCGACGCGAGCAUCUCUGCAGAAGAAUUCACUUAUAUGGAAGAUGAAGCCGAAAGCAUGGAAGCUACAGAUACUCUUGACAGUAUUAUCAAAGACACUGAAGAGAUUUUGGAGAGCUGGAAGCAAGAGAGGCUUAAAAAGGCUUGGAGUAAACGAAUGCAGGCAGUGAACAUUAGCUGGGAGACAUCCAGAAAACUACUGUUUUCAGUAUGUCAUGGGAAGAACUCCAUCAUACGUUGUCAAGAUUGUGUUCACAAUUUUUUGUGCCAGUCCUGUGAUGAUUUUGUACACACAACUUCACCCCUGCAUGAUAGAGAAGCCAUCUUGGGUGGGUACUACCGCUCCAUUUUGCCAACAGAAUAUAUAGAUGUGACCGGGGCUUUAGCCAAUAAAAGGAGAUUUGACUCCAGCAUAGUUAGUCAUUAUGCAUGCAGUGUUUGUAGUACAGAGGUGGAUUGCAGCAUCACAGCAGUUGAUGUCAUCAGAAAUGGUUAUUGGCCAGGAACGCCCACAAAUAUAUGCCACAUUUUUUCCCAGGAUCUAUUUCUAUUUUGGGGCUUUGAUGUCAAGUCUUGAAGACUACUCUAAGGAGAAAGGGAGGAUAAGAAAUAACUUCCAGAUAGAAUUAAGCAAUUUUGCAUACAGGUUAGAGGUGUUAAAACCACAGUAGAACUCCUACUAAGACAAGAAGCUAAGCUGGCUUUUAAUAAUAUAAUAAAUUAAUGAACUGCCAAAUAUUAGUUUAGAUACCUACGUAACACACAGCUCAUAACCAUACACGAUUACUUUCCUUGUGUAACAAUUUAAUGUAAAAAAAACUCUUCUUUUUCAAAUAAAGGUUUAUUAACUGUGUAUUGUUUUGCUAUUUUUUUUUUAGAUUGGAACAAUCAAUUUCUCAACAUUCAGCAGGAGCUUCAAGGAGUGGAAGUUCUGUUGCUAUGAAAUCGACCAGCUUGCUGAGAGAAAUUGGAUGGAGUGCCCUCCCUGCUCGCAGGGACAACACUCUGCACAUGUUGAUGGCAACAUGAAGUUGUACUGCUUCAGUGCAGCAGGAAGUCAACAGCGUGAGAGCUAUUAUAUGAUGCGUCAUGCUUCGGCACUAUACCGGAGGGAAUUUGCCAGGCUAAAGUCUAAUCCAACAAA